UCCCCCUCUAUAUGAGGAGGCAAACUUUAACGGAGAGAUACAUGCAACUUCGCAGGUUGUGGAUCUGUCUCCCCGUCUGUCCGUCUGGAAACAGCAGUUGACCGAGGCGCACUGGGACCGGUCAGCAUUUGGUCGUGGAGAUUUGUCACGUUUUUUUUUUUUGGCUGAGGAAGAACUCGAGCUUAACAUGCCUCGAUCUUUUCUGGUCAAGAAGUAUUUCUCCAACAAGAAGCCUUAUUACAGAGAAAGCCAGCUGGAAAGCCAAACUGCCUUUGUCCCUGAAAGCUUUCCGCUGGCCGAACUUCCAACACAGAACAACGCCUCCGCGCUCACCUGCCACCCCAGCAGCCCCUUCUUCACUAGCCCGGAUGCCCUGCCUGCUGCGCUCUCCCCCGUCACCCCAGGCUGCCUGCCUCCCUCCCCUCUGGGCCCUCUGAACCUCAGCAGCUCUCCCUCCAGCAGCAGCGGAGAUGAAGAGGAGGACGGAGGUCGUACCUCCGAUCCCCCCAGCCCGGAGGUCAUCCAGAGCAUCUUCCACUGUCUGCACUGCAGUAAGACCUACGGCAGCCUCUCGGCACUCUCGCAUCAUCAGGUGUCCAGCCACCAGCUCCCUCCGAAUGCUCCGUCGUCCCAGGCUACUUCCAUACCCUCAGAGGUCUCCCAGCGUCCGGCCUUCCACUGCAAACACUGCUCCAAGGAGUACACCAGCCUGGGGGCUCUAAAGAUGCACAUCCGCUCGCACACGCUUCCCUGCGUGUGUCCAACAUGCGGCAAGGCCUUCUCCAGACCCUGGCUGCUCAGAGGGCACAUCCGCACGCACACAGGAGAGCGCCCCUUCGCUUGUCAACACUGUAACCGGGCCUUCGCUGACCGCUCUAACCUGCGCGCCCACCUGCAGACCCACUCCGAGGUGAAGAAGUACCACUGCGGCUCCUGCUCCCGGACCUUCAGCCGCAUGUCCCUGCUGCACAAACACAACUCCUCUGGGUGUUGUACCUCUUUGUAGAGCAGGGUUUCCCCCCCCGACCGCCUCUAAAAAGACCCAGCUGGUGCUGCUCUUGGGUUCUAAUAAGAGCCAACAUCCACAGACAACGCAGGGGGUACUGAUCCCGUACGUGUCCAAAGCAAUUCCUCUUUCUCUUAAGAGAACGUGAGAGGUGAGCGUCACUUCAGCACCUGCACACCCACGCAGUCAUGAAUCAGAGGAGGCCUGAGCUCUGCUUGAAGGGCCAACCGGGUUGGACACGCAGCGCAGAGAAAAUGCACAGGGUUUUAAAAGGGGUGUCCAAUUUCUCCUUGGGAUAUCUUCAUUCUGCCGCCAAAAAACAGUACACUCGGUUACCUAAAUGCUUUAAACAUCUUGCUACGGGGACUUCUUUUGGUUUGAGUGUAGGAGGCAGUCUGUGACUCUUUAGCUGUGAGGCAAUGAGAUCACUGGAGCUGUCAUCUUUCCUUUUAAAUGUUCAUAGGUAUCAUAUUGACCCCCUUAAAGUAUUUUGAUGUUCACAGCCUCACGCGUGCGUCCCCUGACUAAUUUGACAUUCCUGAACCAUUAGCGACAGACACAUAAUACGACUGUCUUGCAGACUGAUGGCUUCUCUCUUGUCUUCUCAGAUUUUCUAUAACAUGAAAUAUGCAGCUCCAUCUGCUUGGAUUAAGCUGCAAACUGUCCUAAGUCUCAAGGAGCUGGUGUUUGAACAGUUUUUUAAAUACUUGGUGAAAGUCCAUCUCAUUGUAAGUGCACUUACAAUGCACUAGUACUUCUUUUUCUUAAAUGCAUUGACGUUUGAGUCUAAAAUGGUUUCUUUGCAGCCUUCUUGGCCAUAGCCCUUUGUAUGAGAGAUGUAAAAUCUCUAAUUGGUGUUUCCUGCUUAAAAAUAGGAAAUUAAAUGGGGAAACAAUGUUUUUUGACAAUAAUGAAAGGACACCCCAUGAGCUUGUCUCAGGGGAGGAAAAUCCACAAGUUCAGCCCAUUGAGGAUUUAAAGGGGAGAUGUUUUCAGUUUUUCCCUUUUACAUUGAAAUCUAUAUAAAGUGGAACAGCAACGCUUUGGUCUGAAUUCCUCUUUAAUUUAUACCCACAUUUCCCCCUAUUCCUGUUCUGAGGUACGUCUGAGAGCAAUUCGGUGCAGUUUUUUUAUAUCUAACUGAGGCACUUCACACCCCGUUCCCUUCCUGGUCGCAGAGCGUUCCACAACUCCGCCGUUUGGCCAUUUUUGUAACAUGCUGGGGGAUGGUGUAAGUACUGCAGAGUCCAGUAUUUUGACUGCGCAGCAAAUACUUCAGUGUAAUGGUUAAAAAAAAAA
Molecule: RNA transcript, 2305 nt
Organism: Fundulus heteroclitus (mummichog)
Lineage: Eukaryota; Metazoa; Chordata; Actinopteri; Cyprinodontiformes; Fundulidae
Gene: snai1b
Gene name: snail family zinc finger 1b
Exons: 4
Source: RefSeq, a predicted model, not a curated record